This is a long non-coding RNA of Mus musculus (house mouse), 1919 nucleotides long. RefSeq annotates it as predicted gene, 31495. The record is from RefSeq and is a predicted model, not a curated record. The transcript has 4 exons. NCBI's taxonomy places the organism in Eukaryota, Metazoa, Chordata, Mammalia, Rodentia, Muridae.
AUGAACUCUGGGUUGACGUUCUACAGAGUGAAUGUUGACUAUCGCAUGGAGUUGAAAGCAAAGGGGAGAAAGUCUGAGUCAUGUGGAAAAGUUUUGAACACACCAAUUACUUCUGAAAGGGAUACAAAGGAAACGGAACAUCCUUGGCCCUGAGAAGAGCAGCAGGAUUGGUUUUCUAGGUAGGAUUUCGGAUGAAAAUACCCCCAUCAACUUUCCCUAUGUGGAUAAAAAUUAUAGCACUGUUGUCAAUUCACCUGGAAUACAGAAAGUCCCACAGUCAACUGUAGACAAGGAGGCUACCUUUGCUUUUAAGACCAUAAAGGAUUUCUGUCACAGAGUAAAAACUUGAAGAGUUCUAAGGAUGGACACAUGGAUGGUGAUUUCAUCGUGCUCCUAUUGGCUGAAUCAAAAAAAAAAAAAAACCCAAGGAGGAACAGACCCACUGCUAUACUGCAUGGACAUAUAUAAUCAGGGAGCAGAUGGAAAAUGGAUGUGAAGGAUCAAGGAGAAGAGUUCUAGCAGCCUCAGUUUCCUGCUUUGCAGGAUACAAACUAGGACCAGAAUAAGAGGCAGAUGAUAAUUUUGUGAGAAAAGGAAAAAAAUAACCCUAUAUUUUUCAAAUCAUCUUUAUCUUCUAUCAUUGUCUGUGUACUUCAUAUUUGGACAGGAAAAUGAAUUUUCCUUAUUUCCUGCCUCCUGAUUUCUUCACCAGACUGAAUAAUACUUAAUAGUCAAUUUUUUGGGUAUGGCAAAAGAGGUAUUGGGUACGUUCACAUGCAUGUGUCAGGUAAUAUAUGUGGGAGGUGCUAUUCGACUGUCAGCAAUUGACACUUAGAAAUUAGUUAUCCCAAUGUUUUAUAACUAUUCAUUUUUGUACAGAUCCAGGAAGUGUAGUUUAAACCCUGGCACAUAACACCCGUGCUACCUUGCAAUCGAUAGAAUUGCCAAGUUCACAUUCUGACCUAAUUAUUCUGCCUUUGUUUCCCUAUGGGCUUAAGCAAAGUCAUCCAAAUGGAUCUACAGGUCCCUAAUGAUGUGCUGGGAACAAAUAAGCAAAAUAGUUAAGCCUAAUGUUCUUUGCUUAAUUCCCACUGUUAAUUUUUAUAGUAAGAUGAAAUGUACAAGUCUUCUCAAAGCAUAUGAGACUUGCUAUGCUGUGAGAUCACUGUUUUACUGGUUUGUAAUUAUUCAUCCCAAAUCUCUCUCUCUCUCUCUGUCUCUCUGUCUCUCUGUCUCUCUGUCUCUCUCUCUCUCUCUCUCUCUCUCUCACACACACACACACGCAAAGACAUACACACACAUACACAUACACUUUAUUUUGCUAAUGACUAAGACUUAUUAUUAAUUCCCAAGAAGACUGUAUUAUUAUUAUUAUUUUAUGGAGCUAGACACUGAACCCAAGUGUUACCAACACAUGGAUUAUUGCCAACAGUAGAUUAUUCUGUGUCUCUUUUACUCACAUUUUUGCCCAAAUAUUUAGCAAAUACUUAGCUUGCCUCCACUUCUGUGUUGAAUUGUUAGUUCAUGUUUCUUCUUUGUGUAGUUGUAUAAUUAUUCUUUGUGUAGUUGUAAAAUUAUUCUUUUUUGUUGUAGAUCUUAUAAGUUUAUCUGUCAUUACAGAAGAACAACUCAUACUAAGUCUUAAACUCACAAAUUAAACUAAACCUGCUAUUAUUAAGAAUAAUUUAAGUGGUGGGGUAAAAGUGUUUAACUGUGGAUACACUUAGGCUUGAAACAGUUCAAGGGCAGUUCUAAGGUCAAGGGCAGUGUUUGAGCAUUGAGGCAGGUGGCUGAUAAUGGCCUUUUGAAAGUGGUCUAGGCAUAAAUGUUCUACUGAAAUAUAAUUAUUAUUUCUAACAAAAUGUGUUAUCUGAUCUUUUUUUUUUAUACCAGUAACAUAAUAAAUAGUGUUUCUUCCA